CCUACGGGAGUCAGCAGUGGGGAAUAUUGCACAAUGGAGGGAACUCUGAAGCAGCGACGCAGCGUGAGUGAAGAAGUAUCUCGGUAUGUAAAACUGUAUCAGCAGGGAAGAAAAUGACGUUACCUGACUAAGAUGCCACGGCUAACUACGUGCCGGCCGCCGCGGUAAUACGUAGGGGGCAGGCGUUAUCCGGAUUUACUGGGUGGAAAGGGAGCGUAGGCGGCAGGGCAAGUCUGGAGUGGAAGCCCGGGGCUCAACCCCGGGACUGCUGUGGAAACUGGGAUGCUUGAGUGCUGGAGAGGUAAGCGGAAUUCCUGGUGUAGCGGUGAAAUGCGUAGAUAUUAGGAAGAACACCAAUGGCGAAGGCGGCUUACUGGACAGUAACUGACGUUGAGGCUCGAAAGCGUGGGGAGCGAACAGGAUUAGAUACCCGUGUAGUC
This 440-nucleotide ribosomal RNA is filed under the name uncultured bacterium. RNAcentral describes it as "partial 16S ribosomal RNA". It matches the Rfam family "Bacterial small subunit ribosomal RNA", at positions 338 to 795 of the family's 1533-position model. The record is from RNAcentral.